Molecule: transfer RNA, 77 nt
Filed under: endosymbiont 'TC1' of Trimyema compressum
Lineage: Bacteria; Bacillati; Bacillota
Description: tRNA-Arg
Rfam family: tRNA
About the family: Transfer RNA (tRNA) molecules are approximately 80 nucleotides in length. Their secondary structure includes four short double-helical elements and three loops (D, anti-codon, and T loops). Further hydrogen bonds mediate the characteristic L-shaped molecular structure. tRNAs have two regions of fundamental functional importance: the anti-codon, which is responsible for specific mRNA codon recognition, and the 3' end, to which the tRNAs corresponding amino acid is attached (by aminoacyl-tRNA synthetases). tRNAs cope with the degeneracy of the genetic code in two manners: having more than one tRNA (with a specific anti-codon) for a particular amino acid; and 'wobble' base-pairing, i.e. permitting non-standard base-pairing at the 3rd anti-codon position.
Source: RNAcentral
GCUUCCGUAGCUCAGUAGGAUAGAGCAGCAGUUUCCUAAACUGUUGGUCAGAGGUUCGAAUCCUCUCGGGAGUACCA